This 222-nucleotide unclassified non-coding RNA is filed under the name plant metagenome. RNAcentral describes it as "partial contains small subunit ribosomal RNA and internal transcribed spacer 1". The stretch from base 1 to 46 matches the Rfam family "Eukaryotic small subunit ribosomal RNA", at positions 1786 to 1831 of the family's 1831-position model. The record is from RNAcentral.
AAGUCGUAACAAGGUUUCCGUAGGUGAACCUGCGGAAGGAUCAUUACCUUUCAUGGCAUAUUUAAUAGCUUGUCUGGGGGCUAGCAGUUUCUGCAGUCUCUGACUACAUCCGUGUUUUUUGCCGCUAACUAUAUGUUUCCUCGGCGGGCUUGCCUUGCCGGUUGGACAAACUAAGACUCUUUGCAAUUGCAAUCAGCGUCUGAAUUAUAUAAUGAAUUACAA